RNAcentral lists this ribosomal RNA (393 nucleotides) under uncultured bacterium. RNAcentral describes it as "partial 16S ribosomal RNA". It matches the Rfam family "Bacterial small subunit ribosomal RNA", at positions 523 to 918 of the family's 1533-position model. The record is from RNAcentral.
AUACGGAGGAUCCGAGCGUUAUCCGGAUUUAUUGGGUUUAAAGGGAGCGUAGAUGGAUGUUUAAGUCAGUUGUGAAAGUUUGCGGCUCAACCGUAAAAUUGCAGUUGAUACUGGAUAUCUUGAGUGCAGUUGAGGCAGGCGGAAUUCGUGGUGUAGCGGUGAAAUGCUUAGAUAUCACGAAGAACUCCGAUUGCGAAGGCAGCCUGCUAAGCUGCAACUGACAUUGAGGCUCGAAAGUGUGGGUAUCAAACAGGAUUAGAUACCCUGGUAGUCCACACGGUAAACGAUGAAUACUCGCUGUUUGCGAUAUACAGCAAGCGGCCAAGCGAAAGCGUUAAGUAUUCCACCUGGGGAGUACGCCGGCAACGGUGAAACUCAAAGGAAUUGACGGGG